RNAcentral lists this long non-coding RNA (237 nucleotides) under Gossypium barbadense (sea-island cotton). RNAcentral describes it as "long non-coding RNA (GBAR_LNC000872)". The record is from RNAcentral. Lineage: Eukaryota; Viridiplantae; Streptophyta; Magnoliopsida; Malvales; Malvaceae.
UGAAAUUGUGAGUUGGAAGUAGUCUUGACUGAUACGGCUGGUUGUACUGAGAAUUUGAUCUAGAGCUCAUAUUUGGGUGAUCUCUCUACCCCGCACAAUAUGUAUUUGAAUGUGGAUCAUAGCGCCUUUAGGGUGGCCCUGAGAAGUUCCCAACGACAUCUACUUGUGUUAUAUCCUCAUGUAAAAUCGGACAUGAGUCUGUUGAAUGAUCAGACAUGACACCAAUCCCACACAAUC